ACCUUUACUAUAGCUUGACACUGAACAUUGAGCCUUGAUGUGUAGGAUAGGUGGGAGGCUUAGAAGUGUGGACGCCAGUCUGCAUGGAGCCGACCUUGAAAUACCACCCUUUAAUGUUUGAUGUUCUAACGUUGACCCGUAAUCCGGGUUGCGGACAGUGUCUGGUGGGUAGUUUGACUGGGGCGGUCUCCUCCUAAAGAGUAACGGAGGAGCACGAAGGUUGGCUAAUCCUGGUCGGACAUCAGGAGGUUAGUGCAAUGGCAUAAGCCAGCUUGACUGCGAGCGUGACGGCGCGAGCAGGUGCGAAAGCAGGUCAUAGUGAUCCGGUGGUUCUGAAUGGAAGGGCCAUCGCUCAACGGAUAAAAGGUACUCCGGGGAUAACAGGCUGAUACCGCCCAAGAGUUCAUAUCGACGGCGGUGUUUGGCACCUCGAUGUCGGCUCAUCACAUCCUGGGGCUGAAGUAGGUCCCAAGGGUAUGGCUGUUCGCCAUUUAAAGUGGUACGCGAGCUGGGUUUAGAACGUCGUGAGACAGUUCGGUCCCUAUCUGCCGUGGGCGCUGGAGAACUGAGGGGGGCUGCUCCUAGUACGAGAGGACCGGAGUGGACGCAUCACUGGUGUUCGGGUUGUCAUGCCAAUGGCACUGCCCGGUAGCUAAAUGCGGAAGAGAUAAGUGCUGAAAGCAUCUAAGCACGAAACUUGCC
This 702-nucleotide ribosomal RNA is filed under the name Escherichia coli. RNAcentral describes it as "partial 23S ribosomal RNA". It matches the Rfam family "Bacterial large subunit ribosomal RNA", at positions 2097 to 2798 of the family's 2925-position model. Lineage: Bacteria; Pseudomonadati; Pseudomonadota; Gammaproteobacteria; Enterobacterales; Enterobacteriaceae. The record is from RNAcentral.